Molecule: long non-coding RNA, 3418 nt
Filed under: Equus caballus (horse)
Lineage: Eukaryota; Metazoa; Chordata; Mammalia; Perissodactyla; Equidae
Description: lncRNA (ENSECAG00000035501.3)
Source: RNAcentral
CUCUAGCCUUAUUUUUCUCAAUGCUAAUAUGGAGGUGUGAUUGGGCCUACUUUUUGGUUGUUGUAAGGAUUAAGCGGCGUGAUGCAUACAAAAUGCUUAACAAAGCACAUUACUGUUCUAAAACAUAGCAUAUCUUAGCUUGACUAUUAUAUAGCUAUUAUGUUAUUGUUUAAAUCAACCUCACAAUAACUCCACAAGGUAGUCAUGAUACCUCUAGUUUCUGGGUACCUUAUAGCAGAGGCAGGGGCUCUCUCUAUCUAAAAGAAAGCAUAUGAGUAGAUAGACGUACUUUGUGACAUCUUAUUUCUGACCUUAUUUCACUCUGGGAGGUGUGGAACUAAGUUAGGAACUCAGAUAAGUUCUCCAACAACUACUUCCCCUCCCAAAUCUUUGCAUGUCUAAGUUCUAAUAUAUUUCCUCCAUCCACGAAGCCAGGACCCACUUACACUCUACCAUUUGCUUGCAAAUUGAGUCUCCUGCCUCAUUCUCAACAGAGUCAUUUUUGGAAAUCGAUUCCACCCUGUUCCAGCAGACAGGAGUCCCCAUUGUAGCCCUUAUGGGGUGAGGGCUAUUGGUGUUAUAACCCUGGUUUUGACAAGCAUAUAUUUAGGACUGGCUGCAUAGUUGGCAGGGUCCAGUGCAAAAUGAAAAUGGCGACCUCUUGUUCAAAAAUUAAGAAUUUCAAGACAGACAACAGAACAUUAAACCACAAACAGGGCCUUCUUCUGAUUGCAAGGCCCUGUGCAACUUCACAGGCUGCUCAUUCAUGAAGCUGACCUUCAGUUUAGUUAAAUUGUAAGGUGGUUCCUUCGAUUUGAAAUAGCUCACUUCAUUCAUUAGUUCAUUUUCAAAAAAUAAUCCCAAGGACUGGAGCAGAUAGGGGCCAAGGAAGUACACAAUAAGAGGGAUAACAUAGGCUUUUCCUAUGAGGACAAAAUAAUCAAGUUGUGACUUGAAAGGCAAAGGAAAGGGAGCUGAACAGUAAGAAUAUGAGGACAUUAUGGACACUAUAUUCUAUGCCCCAGUGAAAGUCACUGUUUAGCCUUGGUCCUAGGUUUUCCAACAGCCACAACAAGCCGAGUAAAGGAAUAGAGGAUAGGAGGCGUGAGCUCUACCUGAAGAGAUUGUUUCCAUCAGCCCAAAGCGUUUCUCUCAAGUCAACAUCAAGUUCCACUUUUUCAUUAGUGAAAGGAAAGAAUGUUGAGUUUAUUGCCCAAAUUUUGACUUUUGGGGCAUAUUUUAUAAUUAUGAGUGAGAUGAAAGGAAAAGGGACUAAAUCUAGGGGCUUUAUUCAUUUUGCCUGUCUUUCCCACAGCCAAGCAGCAGGAAAUUCCUGUCUCUCAAAAGAGGCAGAAACAGAAAAGCAGAGAGAAACGGAUACUGACAGAAAGGAGAAACUACCAGAUAGUUCCCCAUCUCUAUCCAACUACUUGGGCUCAACUCUCACUUCAAUCAGCCGCUUAAGGACCGACAGGCUGUGGAAGACUCAGUUAAGUAGAAGAUUUGUGAAUGAGCUACUGUUAUGCGAAGUUUGAAGAAAGAAAGUCUUCACCACCCAAAUCCAGAAAUCACUCUAAAAAGGAAUGUUUCUGUGCCUUGAAGGGAGGAGGUUAGGGAGAUCCCUGUGAGCUGUGCCCCACUGAACCCAAUGAAGGCUUCUGCCAGACCUGUUCCUGUGGGAGUGGAAUCAUUGUGGGACCUGAUGAUUCAACAGUUGAUGAAGAAGCUGAAGCCAGGAGAAGCUAAUUAAAACUUCCAAAUUCCCCUAUAUUCUUUGCACUGCACCAGAGUGAACUUCCAUGGGCACUGAUUACCCAUCAUCUGGAAAGCACUGACAACAAACAACGACCACUGCAACUCUCUAUCCACUCAGAAGCCACAAUUAAACAGCAAGAUCCCUCCUUGGUGGACCUGUAAGUUAAAACAGCACAUUAAGGUGACAAAGUUGAUAAAAGUGCCAGGACCACCUCAGAGGACUCUCCAAGGAGAAGGGAGCCCAAACAAGGUGUAACUGAAAAAUCUACUUGGAUCGUAGUGCCAAAAUCUGAAGUAAAUCCUCCUUUUCCAGAUCAUACCAGGCUGGGAGUGAAAAAUAGAUUUGCAAUAACAGUAAACUCCAUACACACACACACAUACACACCCCCAGAGUAGGUCCUUGACUCAGUCUGCAGGAACGCCAGUCCUUCCUCAGUCCCCACCUCCAUAUCUUCACAUUCCUCUCACAGGAAACAGAGAAGCAAAGAGCUGUCUCACUUGAGCUCAGAAAUGAGUCCAUUUACCUACCAUGGCUGCCACACUGGGCCUCUUGUUUGUUUUCCUCUCCUGUGGUCCAGGCUCCCAGGAGUGACAGCUACUGUUUCUGCCAUUUUACUCCAUGACCAAAGAGAAGCUGCUGAAACAAGACGCCUUGUAUAGCAUCUCAUCUCCAGAGGCAGACUUCCCAAGCUUGCUGUCAGGCUAUCAUGUCCAUUUCUCAACUUCUCUGAGCUCCAACAGUCACCUUGGAACGGGGCAAGUGCCUUUCACCUAACUGUCAUUACAGAGACCACAAAGCAUUGCUUCGUUGAGCUCUCAAUGUCUGACAGAGAUUUUAGUGAGUCAAUUCUUUGAGAUUUCAUCCACUCUUGAUUGCAGUCCCUCCCCCUGUGACUAGACAAGAGUCUGGAGGGCAACCUUGUGAAUCUGUACUCUUUUCCUUUAGAGUAAGUUUUUUCUCAGGAGCCGCUGAUGUAGAUAAUCCUUGAUGUAAACAGACAGUUGGUCCAUCUUCCUCAAGAGUUCUCCAGGCAUGUCUGCCUCCUGGAGGGAACCCAGUGUGACUGUCAGGGUGGGACACCCUAUUUACACCUAGCUGGGCAGGGCUAGACACAUUAUUCUGCAUACCAUCAAUUCCCAUAAUCACAGCAUUUUAUUUGCAAGGAGUCAGGAUUUCAGAUGCAAAUUAUUAUAAAGCCAAAUAAAAAUACUCCUGGAGAGAGCCUUUAAAGCUUUAGCAAAUAAAAACUUACAAAAAGAAAAAUUUAAGCCAAAUCAUUCAGAGUUCCUAAUAUUUUUCAGCACCUAUUUUGCAGAUAAAGUGAUUUUCCCCACACACAAGUCCCCAGAAAUUAGUUUGUUAGAAGGAAACAUCUUCAUGCAUCAUGGAAGAGAGAACUGCUUGCUCCAAAAGAACACCUCAGGGACCCCUCCCUCUGGGAGGAUACAUUUGCCUCUUCCUCCCCUGACUCUUUCCUCGCUGUUGACCCCCAGAUCCUCAAGUGUUGAUAUCUUCAUCUCCUUUUACAAAUUAACAUAGGAGAGGCCUUGAUAAUCAAUUAGUUGUGCUUCCCAAUUGACUGACAAAUUAAUCGCAUUUUAAUGGAAACUCUUGGUAUCUAGUGAAACAAAGACCCUAUUGUAGAAUGAAACACAUUUUGUA